RNAcentral lists this transfer RNA (85 nucleotides) under Felis catus (domestic cat). It matches the Rfam family "tRNA". From Rfam's summary of the family: Transfer RNA (tRNA) molecules are approximately 80 nucleotides in length. The record is from Rfam by way of RNAcentral. Lineage: Eukaryota; Metazoa; Chordata; Mammalia; Carnivora; Felidae.
GCCUGGGUGGCUCAGUCGGUUAAGCGUCUGAUUUCAGCUCAGGUCAUGAUCUCACGGUUUGUGGGUUUGAGCCCCAUGUCAGGUU